This is an RNA transcript of Gigantopelta aegis, 3646 nucleotides long. RefSeq lists it as uncharacterized. The record is from RefSeq and is a predicted model, not a curated record. The transcript has 4 exons. Lineage: Eukaryota; Metazoa; Mollusca; Gastropoda; Neomphalida; Peltospiridae.
UCAAAAGUGACAACAUGGAAGAUGAAAAUGCACAUUUUAAAUCGAAUCUGUUAAUUCGAUAUUUUAAAAACGAAUUCUAAUGGUAUUAUGUUACCUAAUGAAUGUGCCCUUCACUAUAUAGGAUAUUUAGUUUUGCUAUCUGCCUGCAUGAUGUCCACGGUUAAUUCUAGGGUCAUUCCCAGCCUAGAAGACACAGAACUUAAUACCUUAUUCAGUGUACAUAAAACUACGACAGAACUACAUCAGGAAAAAAUAGGAAAGAAUAACAUGUUUCUUAAUGGUUUAGGAAUGAAUGUUUCACCACGGUUACAAGAAUCGAAGCUGCAAAAAGAAGAAUCUGUUACAUCGAAAAUACCAGUUAAAAUUUUAACAUUGUGGUGGAAAAUGUUUUCUAGGAUUUUCAAUUCUGAAAAUGCUGUUCAAAUAUUGAACAGAAGGAUAAGAGAAAGUGAUAUUUCUGUGUCACAAUUAUCAAGUGAAAACCAUAACAUAUUUAAGGAUAGUCAUCUUGAAGUGCUGACUAGUAAUUCAAAUGACAUAACCGUUGAGAAAACUAACUUCAAGUCUUCCCAAACAAGAGACCGUCGUGAUACUUUCGCUAAUCCAAGUAAGAAAAAUAUUUCUGAACAUCAUUUGAAAUCUGAUUUUGGGAAUAAAAGUUCCACUGCCGUGAAUACGACUUUCUUCAGGGAUUUGAUUCGUAAGGUGACUCUUGAAGCAGAAGUGUGAGUGUGUUUUCAGUCCCACUGUCAUACAGGUAGCAGGAUGUAGUCAUUGCCUGAGGAAGCAUAGUGCUCAGAUUGCAUUUCUUUGCCUUACUGGGUUAUGUUGUUUGAUGACCUGGACUGUGUGGUACAAUGGAAUGUGCAGGAAUCGUACAUUAAAAUACAUGUACUGGGACCGACAGAAGACGGUCACUACCGAUAUAAGAGACAUCUUGUAUCGACGAGGAAAAUACCUACCCAUGUUUCAAGAUGAACAGUACGAUGUGGUGUAUGUAAAAGAUAAAGGAACAGAUCCAUAAACAGACAUGAUAUUUAAAAAGGAUUCACUUCCAUGACUCACAACAGUGGCUUUCAAAUUUAUUUUACUAUCAGCAUUUUUGUAAUUUCUCUGUGUUAUUGCAAAUGCAUCAGUGUUAUAUUAUUACUAGAUGCCUUUGACAAGAUAUUUAAAUCUUACAACAGUGUUUCUGGUACCAGCAUCUCACCACAUUUCACUGACAAUAUAUUUAAAUCGAGGUAUUUGUAUCUCCUUACUACACAAAUGUACUAUAUUACCGUUACGGUAUGAAUGCCCAACAAUGUGUACUUGGAUACCCCUCGUUUCUUGUGAUAUCAUAAUUUAUCAGCACACGUUUAUAAAAGUAUGCCAAGGAUUUUUAUACUUUUAUCAACGAUUGCUGAUAAAAUAUAUCACAAGACACGAGGGGGGUAUUCUUUUUAUCAUCCAUGAUCAUUCUUUUCAUUUGCGACAAUUGUAAACAAUGUCAGUAAUGUGGGUUGAAUGUCACUAUAUAUUUGGCAGCGAUAGACUCGUUAACUAACAAAACGAUAGUGGCUUGACGUCACUAAUGAUGGGUUUAGUGCUGACGUAACAAAAAGAGCAAUAUCUCCUAGGAGAAUACUGCAGGAGAUAUCGCAAAUUAUAGUACCAGUGAUAUCUCCUACAAAAGCCUUUAAUGGAUGAUAAAAUUACUUAUUAAUCCUGAAAAACAUCUUCAUCCCCUAGUUCUGUAGUUGUAGGCAAAUAGUUUAAUGUAAGUAGCUGGUGAUAGGUGUAGAGAUUGGUGACAGGAUGUAAACAUCGCUGUAGACAUUAGAGUUGCAUGCCAUUAUCGGUAUACCAACAAAUGGUAAUAUAUAUACAUUUAUUAUCCAUAUGGUUCAACAUAACCGAGUUAAUAAUAAUCAUACGAAGCACACAUGUAAUAACAAGUGUAAUGACGUAAUUUUGGGAAGCGAUGUCAUAACAUGGCGUUGCUUCUUCAGUCCUAGCUCAGACUGAAUUUGAAAUAUGACGUCAUUUCGUCGUCUCCUAGUUGUGGCUGAAACAUUUUGAGUUGGGUCUGUUAUUCAUAAAGAAAACAACAAAAAUAUGGAUAAUAAAGAAAUUAUUACAUUCGCUUGUGAGUCGUAUUGAUUUUACGAAACUUGUGUCAGGAUUAGUGUAUAACCCUGGCUCUCGCUUGGGCAAUACAAAAAUCCUGACACUCAUUUGUUAAAAUCAGUACGACACAAGCUCGUUUAAUAAUCUCUAUGUAUUAUGAUACACCCUGUACCUUUACUGAAAAACUUGAUAAUUUCCGUAUUUCAUGUUUGUUGUUAUUCAGAAACUCUGAUCUUUGGGAAAUUAAAGUAUCAUGAAGUUCAACAUCUAAACAUCACAGUGCACUUCCUAAGGUGGUUUCUAAAUUAAUCUUUUUCAAUUAGCAACAAUAUUUAUCAAUUUAUUCAAUUUUUAUGUAUGUAAAGUUUCUUUUGGACACCAGUAUAGUUCAUGGUUUCAAAUUAUAAGCUUUUAUUCCUGAUGGUGCUGUAAAUAAUAUAUGUAUCAUGAUACAGGAAUUCCAUAUUGCUAUACAAAAAUUAUUAUAAUACCCAUCCCAAGUAGACAUGACAGCAGGCACUAAUCUAGGUUUGAACAAGAAUAACCCAUUUGUCAUUUUCAGUCAGAUUUGUUAAGUUAAUAUUGAUCAAUAUAUCAGAGGUAUAAAUAUUCCAAAUAUAUAGUGAACUGUAAUGAAAAUGCACCAGUCAGGUUUUUAGUUGUAGAAGGAAUGAGAACAAAAUUGGAACUGAUUUUGUGUAGGCAAAAAAUAACCCCAAAUUGUAUGUACAAGGGUUAAGAGUUGGUGUGUGUUUUAUAUCAACCUCACACAUGCUGUACUAGUGUAGCAAUAACAACUGAAAAUUGGGUGAUUCGUUUUCAGUUCAGUACAUUAAACUUUACAUUGUUUAUUUUAAAACAAAACCUCCACACAAACCUUAAACUAUAGCUAGUCAAUAUUGACACAUGGUCAGUUGUGUUGACACAUGAGGAAAACAAAACGAAUAAAUUUUUUGCCAUAAAGGCUAUUCCUAUGAAAUGCAUAGAAUUUAUCGGUAUUCUCCCAGAUAUGAAGAUGCAUACCUCAGCCAAUGAUAUACCAGUUCUAAGACACUAAUUGAAAUUUGGUGUGUGCGGGGGGGGGGGGGGGGGCAGAUAUUAAGUCCAAGGAAGAUUGAUCCUUUAUCCCAGAGCACCUCCGGCUUUGGAUAUGGCGCUCUGGAAUUGAAUGCAACCAGUCAACAGAGGGUAUAUGGAGGGAGAGUGUGUGUGCGUGUGUGCGUGUGUGAGGCCUCUCCCUGAAAGAAAAUGGGUUAAGUUUAGGGUUAGGGUUAAGAAAAUGAUAUAGUAACUUCAAAAAUAAAAUCUGCAAAUUCUUUUUGGUAUGACACCAUACCGGUUUUACCCUCUGACAAAAACUGGGCAAGGACUCCACAACUUUGUUAAAUUCCAUUCAGUGUUAGAAGUUAAAAACUAUGUGUGAAUGGACGGAGAUUUUCUGUGAUUGGGGCAUUAAAAUCUUGGAUAUAUAUUUACUGGUAUUCUAAGAAUAAUUCUAAUGUUCAUGUUAUCUUUAUAUUAAAAUGUUAUAAUGGUU